Nothoprocta perdicaria is the source of this 922-nucleotide long non-coding RNA. RefSeq lists it as uncharacterized. Lineage: Eukaryota; Metazoa; Chordata; Aves; Tinamiformes; Tinamidae. The record is from RefSeq and is a predicted model, not a curated record. The transcript is spliced from 2 exons.
UAACCUUCCCCAAUGAAACUUUAAAUUGUUACAUGGUCAAAACGAAUCACUCCCUCUUCAUUAAUGCAGAGUUACAGCUCAUCAGUCGUUCUUCCUUCAGGUCAGCAGACACAGAGUUGAGAAGAGCUCAGUUCUGAAGAUAAGGAGGGUGGAGACUUGCACAUGUCUUGAGGAGCCCAUGAGAGCUUGGACGAUGCCGUGCUGGAUGUGAGCAAUGGAGGGUCAACGAAGGCACUUCCACCAAGGUAGAGCAGCCAGGAGAGCCUCCCUGAUUUGAGGAGAGGUUAGCCCUUUUUGUAACUGCUGUUUAAGGUUUGAAGGGACAGCUCCUGCCUUCACCACUCCGUCUGGAGGUCCUUUUGGCUAAAGGUCCCUCCAUGGCAGCCAGCAGAGACCACCAGAAGGCAGCGGGAGGUGGCCAUACCUGUGACUGUAACGCAGAGGCACCAACGUGGCCUUUCACACCGGGACGCAAGGCACUGCUCUGCAGCCUCGUCCUGGCAGGACGGAGCUCAGGAAACACCUCCGUGGAGCUGCCGUUCCCUCAUGGGAACGUCCACCCUUGCUCUCCAGUUGUCUGCAAAGAUGGAGCUUUGCUUAGGUUUUCUGCUGAAUUUUCCCAGGUGCUGCCAAGUAAUCCUUGCUCUGCAUUAGGUUCUGGAUUUUUGUGGCAGGUGCUUUAUUAAAUAGGAAACAGAGGGCUAUUUGCAGGAGCUGGUAGGGUUUGCAGCAAUUCUGGUUUUGAGGAAUUGCUUCCCCCUUAGGAUGAAGAUGCUGUCCAUAAACCCAGACUUCUGUUAGUUGAUGUGGUGUGGCUUAAUAGUAAAGGACUACUUAAAACAGUGUAAUGUUUACUAUUUUUACAUACAUUGCAGUCCUUUUCUUUCCACUGCGCACCUCUGAGAUGGUACUCUGAUUAUUG